Molecule: ribosomal RNA, 519 nt
Filed under: uncultured Glomus
Lineage: Eukaryota; Fungi; Glomeromycota; Glomeromycetes; Glomerales; Glomeraceae
Description: SSU rRNA
Rfam family: Eukaryotic small subunit ribosomal RNA
Source: RNAcentral
AGCAGCCGCGGUAAUUCCAGCUCCAAUAGCGUAUAUUAAAGUUGUUGCAGUUAAAAAGCUCGUAGUUGAAUUUCGGGAUCAAGGAAUCGGUCAUGCCUUGGUAUGUACUGGUUUUAUUGGUUCUCACCUUCUAAAGAACCAUAAUGUCAUUUAUUUGAUGUUAUGGGGAAUUAGGACUGUUACCUUGAAAAAUUAGAGUGUUUAAAGCAAGCUUACGCUUGAAUACAUUAGCAUGGAAUAAUGAAAUAGGACAUCAGAUUCUAUUUUGUUGGUUUCUAGGAUCGAUGUAAUGAUUAAUAGGGAUAGUUGGGGGCAUUAGUAUUCAAUUGUCAGAGGUGAAAUUCUUGGAUUUAUUGAAGACUAACUACUGCGAAAGCAUUUGCCAAGGAUGUUUUCAUUAAUCAAGAACGAAAGUUAGGGGGUCGAAGACGAUCAGAUACCGUCGUAGUCUUAACCAUAAACUAUGCCGACUAGGGAUCGGAUGAUGUUAAUUUUAUAAUGACUCAUUCGGCACCUUAC